UCUCUGAAGCUUUUGUCGACCAUGGCUGCCAUUCGCUUGGAUGAGAAGCCAGAUAAUAUUGAAAAUGUCCUCGUUUCUUCUCUGGUGGACGGGACUGUUACUGUUUCAUCUUCACAAAAUAGGAAACUAGGACCUUCUACAGAUCCUCUUGCCUCAAGCUCUUGGGAAGAGGUACCAUUAAUUUAUGGGUUUGGUUUUUAUGUAAAUUUUUUCUAUAAUGAAACUCCUUUCUUAUUAAGGUUAACUCUAAACUAGGUUUCUUCAAAGGAUACCUUAAUUACCCCAGUACAGUGCAAGUCAUUGUGGAGGCAGUUCAAAGCAGAGACGGAAUAUAGCGUCACUCAAGCUAUUUCGGCACAGGUAUACUUAAGUUUAACUUCAGUAGUCUAAUUGUUUUUAUAUCGUUUAAUCAGAGUUGCAUCCCGAUUAAAUGGAUUUUGUCUUUUAUAAAAUGUUCUUUGAAGAUUUGGAUUAUGAAAAUAUGAAUAUUGGAACAUGUUUCUGCAAAAGUAAUGAACAACUGGUAGGAGGAACGUGGAAAUAGGACGCCUGCAUUGUCCUCGGAUGACAUUUUGGGCGGGAGUUCUUAUGUAAAUUGGAUUUAGUUUAGUAGUGAAACCAAACAUAUGGAAACACUUCAUAUUGAAAAUCGAGCUGAUUCUUGACUUGGGAACAGUUAGUCAGAUAGGACCAACUUAUAAUCAAGUUCAGUGUAUUCUUGUUUUUUCUACAAAGAAAAAUCCUAGCAUCCUAAUACUAUUUUUGUAACGAGCUCCCUAUCUUUAUGCUUAUAGCUCUGCUUGAUCAUGAUGUUGUUUGCUUUUGUACUUUCAGGAGGCUCACAAGCGGAGUAACAACUGGUUACCUCCUCCAUGGGCUAUAAUGGCGAUGAUCGUUCUUGGUUUUAACGAAUUUAUGAUGCUUUUAAAGUAAUUACUUUCGUUCUUUUUUGUUUCCUUUUGCGAGUUUUAGGUUUUGGACAUUUUUAAGUGUCCAGACCCUAAUGUCUUGCACAUAUGUUAAUCACUGUGCCUUUUUUCUUCAAAUGAAACAGGAACCCUCUCUACCUCAUGGUUCUAUUUGUUGCAUUUUUACUUUCAAAGGCGUUAUGGGUACAGAUGGACAUUACGGGACAGUUCCAGCAUGGCGCUGUAAGUAUAAAACUGAGUUUUUUUUGUCUCACUUAGUAGAGUGCAAAAUUGGGAUUGAACGUGGAAUACAACAGCUGGUGAUCCUAAUUUGAUAGAGACUUCACUCGGGGCUGGCCUUUUUGGUUACAGUCUCUCAUCAAAUUGUAAUUUUCUUGAUUGAAGCAGUUUCUAAUUUUAGUUUCUGUUGUUUGUUUUUACCAGCUGUCAGGAAUACUGUCUAUCUCAUCAAGGUUUCUUCCAACCGUCAUGAAUCUUCUAAGAAAACUCGCAGAAGAAGCUCAGGGGAAUCAAACACCGGAAGCACAAAGGCGGCCAGUUUCUCUUUCUUCUCAGAGUUAUAGAAAUGAAACACCUCAGCCAAAUCCAGUAACAAGCUCAUUCCCGGAGUCCUCAGUGUCAUCCAAUAUCUCGUCAUCAGAUACCGGCAUGGAAUACUCAAGCCCUCCUUUAAGACAAAGGCGAACGGCAAACGUUGAGGAAGUUGAAUCUUCAUGAUGUAUGAUCUCCGUUGUUUGUACCAUGUGCAGCAGAUUAAGGUCAUUACUCAUUUGUGCGAUAGUUUUCAUUCUUUUUUAUUUUGUUUCUUGUUUGUAGUUACUGAAAAUUUGAAUAAAAAUAAACGUGGUUUGCUCAGUGCCUGGUUUUACAAAUUAUAGGUUAGUUGUUAUGUUUCGAGGAAUUAGAUUGUAAAAUCUGCGCAUUCUAACAUUGCCUCUCUUUCUUGACUACUUUUUCUUCAUAUUAGUAUUGUCAGUAAAACAAAUGAAAAAAAUUUGUGUAGAGCUGAGCUUGCCACUGAACUUUACAGAGUGGUGCUACAAUGCACUUGUUAUCAUUCUUCUAUUUUAAAUAUAAUACUAUUUUUUCAUUCUUUAAUUUUUCAUAAUUAUCUUUUCUACUAAUUAAGGGUAAAUUAAUUAGGAUCAUCUACUACUGAUUCAUAUACACAAUGGCAAUCAUAUCAGACCGGUAAAACGAGCCCCUGAAAAUAUAAAUUUAAUUAGAGCUAUGCAUAGUCUUGAAAAUCAUGUAGUAUAUUACACAGGAAAAUUAGAUGCAGAUGGGGAUCAAUAUGAUUUUAACUAUGUUUUUGAAAUUGAAUUUUUUUUUCUUUUCAUUCCAUGAUAGUUGGAGAAGAUUGGCUUUUUUUUUUAUUCUUCUCGUGUCCUUAUGAAAGUAAAGAAACUGUGAAGAAGACUGCAACGGCAGAGAAACUGGGUUUGCUCAGCGCCUGGUUUUACAAAUUAUAGGUUAGUUAUGUUUCGAGGAAUUAGAUUGUAAAAUCUGCGCAUUUUAUAACAUAUGAAUUUAAUAUCGUAUUGUCUUUUAGCUUCUAUAUUUGUAUCUGUGGCAAAAAAAUGGUUACAUCCAUGAGAAAAUUUUAUAGAUCGAUGAAUAUUUUCAAUCUAGAUAUUUAUUAGAUACCAGAAAUUAUAAGUCUAUUCGUGAAAGUCUAAGUCAAUGCCACGUACAAUAUUUGUUAAAACAUAUUUAGGAAACUGUUAUUAGCAGUCCAAAAAUCUCUAUCUACACUCCGCACAAGUGUAUUUUUCUUUCUAAUUAUAGAAAGUUUGGAGUGCCAAAUGAGAUUUUUGGAGUGCUAAUAACAAUUUUCUAUAUUUAUAUACAUUUUAUUUUAGUUUGGAAGUUGACUUCUUUUCUUUCUUUAUCAAGUUGGGAGUAUCACUGAGUGUGACCAUGUGCAACUAGUUGUUGAUUAUUUUUGAAUAUCAACAUUUUUUCUUACAAUGUCUUAGACAUAUGAAUAACAGAAAGAAAACGGUCAUGAUACAAGCUAAAUAGUAGUAAUACUAAUUAGUAAACAACUUGUGCAUGAUGUUUGCUUAUAACCAAGUGGAUGCAACUUGGAAUAGUAUUAGUAAAUGCAUGAUGUUUGCUUAUAACCAAGUGGAUGCAACUUGGAAUAGUAUUAGUAAAUGCAUGAUGUUUGCUUAUAAGUUAUAACCAAGUGGCAUGAAGGGACAAAUGUGUAGGUUAUAUGACUUGGAAUAGUAUUAGUAAAUGCAUGAUGUUUGCUUAUAACCAAGUGGCAUGAAUGGACAAAUGUGUAUGUUUCAUGCAUGACUUGGAAUAAUAUUAGUCGUUGGGAGAUUUUGCAUGAAUUUGUUUUUGUUUUUUAUAUGUAUAUAUUAAGUUCUAUUUUAAUGGGAUUGCUCACCACUCCUAAGUUGUGAUAAUGCCUUUAUUUAUCGUUGUUAUGUGAGUUUAAUUAAAUUUUGAGAUUGUGUUUAUCCACUACAUACAUUUCGAUUUUUUUUUUAAGUCGAGCUAUAGCAGUAGUAAGUUAGAUGUUAGAUUAGUCACUGACAGAAUUCAAAUCCAGACUGUCAUGCAAGAGCACAACACUUUUUCACCAUUGUGGUAAAGGGCCACUUGACAACAAGUUGAUUGGCAUCUGUGACUUUACUAAUACUAUUCCAAGUCAUGCAUGAAACAUACACAUUUGUCCCUUCAUACCACUUGAUUAUAAGCAAACAUCAUGCACAAGUUGUUUACUAAUUAGUACUACUCUUAUUCAACUUGUAUCAUGACCGUUUUCCUUCUGUUAUUCAUACGCCCAAGACAUUGUAAGAAAUAAUGUUGAUUAUUCAAAACGAAUCAACAGCUAGUUGCACAGGGUCACAGUCAGUGCCAACUUGAUAAAGAAAGAAAAAAAGAAGAAGUCGACUUCCAAACUAAAAUAAAAUGUAUAUAAAUAUAGAAAAUUGUUAUUAGCACUCCAAACUUUCUAUAAUUAGAAAGAAAAAUACACUUGUGUAAAGUGUAGAAUGAGAUUUUUGGGGUGCUAAUAACAGUUUCCCAAAUAUUUCUUAACAAAUAUUGUACAUGGCAUUGACUUAGACUUUCGCGAAUAGACUUAUAAUUUCUGGUAUCUAAUAAAUAUGCAUCGAUCUACAAAAUUUUCUUAUGGAUGUGCCCAUUUUUUUGCCACAGAUACCAAUAUAGAGGCUAAAAGACACUACGAUAUUAAAUUCAUAUGUGGUCGAGAUAUUUAUGAAUUUAAUCAUUAAAAUGUAUAAGCUCAAUUAUACAUUCAAGUUCGAUCAAUUCCCGAAGUUUUGGUCAACAAUAAAAAUUGUUUACCUAUAGUUCACCUAUAAAACGUGCAAAGGCAAUAUAUUUUUUUACCACAAUUCUAUGUAUUGUGAAUUUUUGUUCGUAACUUUUGUGGCAUAUAAAGACUAAAAGAUACUACGAUAUUAAAUCCAUAUGUGGUUGAAAUAUUUAUCAGUUUAAUCAUUAAAAUGCAUAAACUCAAUUACACAUCCAGGUUAGAUCAAUUCCCGAAGUUUUGCUCCACAAUAAAAACUGCUUAGCUAUGAGUUCACCUUUAAAACGUGCAAAGGCGAUAUACUUUUUAACCACAGUUCAAUGUAAUGUGAAUUGUUGUUUGCAACUUUUGUAUCUAAUAAAUAUCCACGGUUAAAAAUAUUCAUUGAUCUACCAGAACUUAUCAUGGACGUACCUUUUAUUUUUAUUUUUAUCACAGAUAGGAAUAUAGAGUUUAGAAGAUUCUCAUUUAAUUGAAACAUACCAAACUCAUUAAACACUCUAACCAGAAGCUCAUGUAAUUGAAAAGAAAAAGGAAUCAAUACGUAAAAAUCGAACCAAUCGAUUGAACACAUACCAAUUAUUAAGCUAAUUAGUGCUCUAGAAAUUUAGAGAUGUCAAAUGAUGAAGAAAAGGAAGAGGAAGAGAUUUGGAUGACUACGGAGUAGUAGAUGGGGGUGCAGAAUGACAACUAUGGGAGAUGGAAGGAUUUUUCAAAGAGAGAGAGAAUGGGCUUUGCUCCAUGGAGAUGAUGGACUGGUUAGGGUUUUGAUUUUUUUUAUUUUUAAGUAGAUUGAGUUGGGUGUAAAAAGAUUUUGAUUGAGUUGAGUUUUGAUAAAUAAGGGCGCUUUUGGAAAUAACGUUGGGCGUAAAGAGAUAAUGAUAGAUAAAUUAAAUACAAUGUGGGUAUAAAAAGUAAGUUGGAUGUUGAGAUACAAAGUAUGGGUUCAAAUAAAAUUUCCCUUUAAAUAACACCUCUAUUAUUUUAAGUCAAAUUGAAAAAUAUUAUAUAGGGUAUUUAGUAUUCUAGUGAGUACAAAGUAUUAUCCUAGAAUUUUUGCCAACUGAGAAAAUGGCGGACUUUUAUGGGAUAAAUUACCAAGUUUGACCUCAUUCUUGGUGAGUAUUUGUUGCUUUGCCAUUUGUUGCAGGGUCUAUGGAAGUAGUAUGCUAGAGACUUUUUCAUGUACCGGAACACAUUUCGAUACAUCAAGUAUAAUAAUACAAUUGAUUGAAAACUUAAAAAAAAAAUUCAACCAAUUAUAUUAUGACACUUGGUAUACUAAACUGUAUUUUCAGCUACAUUAUCCCUUCCCCUGCACUGCACACCAUUGUACACCUCACGGGUCCAUAUGUCAAUGGAUGCAUGGUGUAAAUAAUGUCUUGCUCGUUGGUUAGCUCUUUACAAGUUUACGAACAUCACCAUCUUCCAAUCUCAAACCCGAGAACAAUGAUGCUCACAGUUUGAUGAAACAUAGAUUAUGAGUUUGGAUAUUGGCUUUGCAAUUUUUUCCAUUAAUCUAGUUAUUCGUUCAGUCUACAAUUCGGUUGGAGUUGCCAAAGAUUCUUUGCACAAUUUUUUAAUUUAAUUGGAUCCCUCAGUAAAAAGAGGGCUUCAAACUUAAAAAGUUUUGAGAGUUUUUGAACAUUGAAGAUAAUAAAGUCCAUGGUUUUGUACUGGUUGUUUGUUUAUUCUUUUUGAACGAAUGAAAAUGGUUGGCUUUGAGAUCUAAGGUUUUAGGUCUAAAAGUUAAAAACACCAGGAAAUGUGUCAGAUUCAGCUUUAAAAUUCGAAGAUUUUGGACCUUCAAGCUUUUCUUAGGGAAUAAAAUAAAUAUCGGAAUCCUUCUUUUCCUAUUUAAACGCUAAUUGUUUUAUUAUGAUUUUGUAUGUUUUAUUCGACGCCUGCUAUUCUUAAAUUAAGAUAAUGUUUUUUUUUGUUAGGAAGUGAAAAUGAAUUUUAGAGAUAGAAAAACAAAAUCAGUAACAUAUAAACCUAAAAUUGCAAAUUAAUCCAAAAAUAACAAAUAAUUAGAUAAAAAGUUACAGCCAUAUACAUACAUAUAUAUAUAUAUAUAUAUAUAUAUAUAAUUUUUGAAAAAAAUGAAAAAUUAUAUGUAAUACGAAUUUGUCUGUCAGAACAUUGUAAUUGAUACUAUUAGUCAAGACUCAAAAGUUGGAUCUUAAUUCGUUGACUGGUAUGCAACUAUGAAUUUUUCUAGAUGCAAACAAAUAUAUAGACCGAGAGAAAGCAAAGUCGUUUACAUACAUACAAAAUAUUAAAGUCCCAAUUAAGACGUUAUGCUAGCAAAUAUAUAGAUUGGGAGAAAGUAAGUUGUUUACAUACAUACAAAAUUAUCUCAGUCAUCCCGAUUAAGACGUUACUAGCAAAUAUAUAGACCGAGAGAAAGCAAGUCAAAAUUACCUCAGUCGUCCUAAUUAAGACGUUACUAGCAAAUAUAUAGACUAAGAGAAAGCAAGUUGUCUACAUACAUUGUAAGAUCUCACAUCGUCCAGGGCAGUGAAUCCUGUAAACCUUAUAUGUAUAUUCUCAUCAUUUAACUGUCAGAUUAACAGAAAAUUUAACAGUGGUCUGACAUUGUAACGACUUAAUAAAUUGAGUUAUGACAUUGCAAUAUUUAAAAUAUGAGAUAUGAGAUUGUGAUUCGACUCAUAAUUGAGCUAAUUUUUUGUAAUUUACCCUAUAUUAUAUAUGUAUACGUUGUCAAUAUAUGACUAAAAUCUAAUGGUCUUCUUCUUCUUACAUGCAAUGCAUGAUUCAGCCAGUGGAAUAUAAGUGUUGGUCGUUUAAGUUCACGCCGUCGAGGAGAGGAAGUUCUGCACAUGUACAAUAUGAAGAUGAAGUUGAUGGUGAGGAUACUAUUACUAUGCUUCCUCAGCUGCUUCUGGUUUCAGCUGUCCUUUACUCAAAAUGUUACCACUGAUCCAUCUGAAGGUUCUCUCUCUCUCUUCCCCCCACCACACACAACACACUUUGCCACUUUUAAGUGUUUUUGACCAGGAACUGGGCUUUUUUUCCCUCAACAAAAUGACAUUUUAAGUGUUUUUUGACUAUAUGAAAUGAAGUUUCGAAGAACUUAUUUGUAAAGCCCUUUUUCUUCUCAUAUACAAAACAUCCAAAAAUUAGGGGUAAUUUUCCUUUGUAAUAAUCAAUUUGAUCGUUCGUUUGGUUCGAGAUAGUCUGGUAAGUGGUAACACAAGUCAAAUUAUGGUGUGAUAUAAUCUAAUACACACAAGGACUGAAUUAACUGAGAGUGCAGUGAGGGCGUUGAACUCAAUAUUUGAACAAUGGGACACACAAGCAGUGCCGGGGCAGUGGAAUAUCAGUGGAGAACCCUGCAGUGGAUCUGCCAUCAACGGCACCGACAUAUAUAGCCCCAAUUUCAACCCAGCCAUCGUUUGCAACUGUACUUACGACAACGGUACUGCAUGCCACAUCACCAAACUGUAUGUUAAACUACUCUCUCUUGAUGAACAAGAUUUCCAUGCAACUGCUGAUUUUUCACUUGCUACCUAUAUAUGUUAACGUCAUAAUUUGACCGUGUCACUCCAUUUUAUGUAGUUCUAAAUGUUCAAUCUUUUUGCUUUCCAGGAGAGUGUAUGCUCUUGACAAACGAGGGGUGUUUCCCGAAGAAUUUGUGGCUCUGAGAUAUCUCACAUUUUUGUAUGAAUUUUUUCCAACUCCCUUCUCUAUUUUUGGUUCAUCAAAAUCAUAUUGGAUAUUAAAAAUUGUAGAAUUAUCAAAGAGACGGGCCAAAGGCUCACUUCCAACAACAUCGAUACUGUCUCCAACUUAGUAAUUACCACCUGCACAAUCCGUCAGGUGUGAGGUUUAUCUCAAAAGGCCUCGGCAUUAGUUGGAGUGGGAUUUGGAUAUUUAAACUCUUCCUUCUUUAGUUCUCUAGCCGAUGUGGGAUUUCAACAAAAAUAUGGUUAUGUUGUAAGAUUAAGAGUUAACGAUUACACUUCCUUUCAAUUUUUGUAGUGAAAUCGAUGAGAAUUAUUUCACUGGUCCCCUACCGGCAUUCAUUGGCAAUAUGUCUGCAUUGACUGGAUUGUAAGUAGUGAGAGAACAUUUCUUUAAGUACUCAUACUUCUGAUGAGACCCGUAGCAAUUUGUAUACUUCAUUAUGAAUAUCAUAAUCUACAAUUAUGUUCUUUACACAUUUUCGCUACUAUUUAUGCCAUAAUCUACAAAAAAAUCAUUAUGCUUUUAUUGAAUAAUGCAGUACUAGUUUCCUAUUAUGUAAUGUAAUUAAGUUUAAUGGUGCUUAUCUUUCACUAAAUGAUAUCUUCAUUCAGGUCAAUUGGCGGCAAUUCAUUCUCUGGGCCCAUCCCCAAGGAGCUUGGAAACCUUAAGGAGCUAACAUAUUUGUAAGCCAUGAAAUUUUUUCUAAAGGUUUCUCUCUCUCUCUGCAAAUCUAGCAGAGCAUAUUCUCUUCAUCUCUACAAUUCACACACACUAUGUGCUUUACAUAACCGUUAGAAUCCAAGGUGGAUUCUCUCUCUUCACAAAACAAUCUCAGCCUUACAUCUAGCUAAUUGCUAGGAUCAUUACACCUGGCUUUAUUUGCCUUACUACAUUAGAGCUGCACACUUGGUAUUUUAAACUCAAGUGAAUACACAAAUUUGAUACAUAACUUAUUUCCUAAUCAGCUAUAGACCUACAAUUCAACACAACCUUCUAUCACUCUUCAAUAAUUGCUUUCAAGUAAGUGUUUGCCCGUUCAACAUGACUUGCAGGGACAUCGGAUCAAAUAAUUUCUCCGGAACACUCCCUCCAGAACUUGGUAAUUUAGUCAAGCUCAAGAACCUGUAAGUGCUUCGUUAAAUCAUCAAAUUUGAAUUACAUGUUAAUUCCUUACGGAUGAGCAAAAAUUGCACUUUAUUGUAUGAAAUGGGUAUUAAUCAGUUGCCUUAUGAUUUUCACAGUUACAUGGACAGCUGUGGACUCGGUGGUGAAAUUCCUUCAACAUUUGCCAACCUCACCAACAUGCAAAUCCCGUAAGAACGGCUCUUAAAUCGUAUUUUAGAUUUGUUCGUUUAUCCAGUACUUUGAGAUUGCUUUUCUUGAAUGAGCUUUAGUAUAAGUCCACUUUUUGAAUUUUAGCUGGGCAUCGGACAGUCCUUUCUCAGGAAAGAUACCUGAUUUCAUAGGGAAUUGGACACAACUCACUGAUUUGUAAGUAGAGAAACCUUUGAUCUUUUGCAGUUUAUGAAAGCAGACCUGAGAUGGAUAAUUUGUUCACAAGCUUCUUAUAUGUUUCUGUAGGCAAUUUCAAGGGAACUCUUUCGAAGGCCCAAUACCAACCAGCUUUUCUCAACUGACCUCAUUGAAAUCUCUGUAAGUACAAAUGUUUCAUAUUUUGUAAUUCUCUCUCUCUUUCUCCGAAGACGGGAUUUCAGUUUAUUUUGCAUAUAAUGAUGUAGGCGAAUCGGUGAUAUAUACAAUGGGAGCUCUUCUCUUGAUUUCAUAAAAAAUCUGAAAAACUUGACUGAUUUGUAAGUGAAGAUUCUCAUCGAUCCAGAUACUUUCAUAUAACUUCUUUUUCCUUUUGAAAUUUGAUAUCUUACUGCAUCUACUUUUUUAUCAAAUUUUAUGUUUUUGGAAUACAGAAAACUGCGAAACACAUUAAUCACUGGUACCAUCCCAUCUGAUAUUGGAGAAUAUCAAAGUCUACAGAUACUGUACGUACCAGCAAAUAUAAGCUUGAGUCCCAACGAGACCAAUUAGUUUUCUUUCAUUUUGAUUGCUCCGCUCAACUUAUCGUUGGUGUUGCAGGGAUCUCAGUUUCAACAAUUUGACAGGCCAACUCCCAAGUUAUUUGUUCAUCUUGAGUUCUCUUACAUCCUUGUAAUCCCCGUCUUUAUUAUAUCUUUUUCUUGCCUUAUCAUACAUAAGUUAUCAAAUCUUUAACAUUCCCUACUUUGAUUGAAGAUCCAGUCCUUCUAGAUUUUGUGCACAUCUGACCUUUUUCUUGCUCAUCUCUUUUUCUUUUCUGGGUGCCUUCUACUAUAAUCGAAAUGGCCAGGUUUCUUGGAAACAAUAGUCUCUCCGGACCUCUUCCGAGCCAAAAGAGCUAUGAACUUCAGACUAUGUAAGUUCUCGUUUCUUAAAGAGUUAAUUGUAGCUAUGGUCCCUUAACUUUAAGUCAAUUGUAGUUUUGAUCCCUCAACUAAAAUUCCAUUAGAUAUAGUCCUUGAACUUAAUAAAAUGUGGAGCAUAAGUCCUUUUUUUCUAAAACCGUCAAAUUCUCCGUUUGAGGUGCUUACAUGGAUGGCAGAUGCAGAAAUAUUUGAAAACCCUAAAAACAUAGUUCUCUGUACAACAGCAAGACUGUCACAAUUACCACCAAUUGACUCCAUCCCUCUCAAUUCUGCUUUGCCAAGCUCCUCCCAAACCCUCUGAAAAUAAACCCCAUUAGUUUGCCCCGCCGCAAAUGGUUCUCAAAACCCAAAACAAACCCAAAUUGGCCGUGAACGGAGUAGCACUACCCGUAAUCCCGAGGUCCCCAUCUACCCGAAUAAUGAAGAUUGAAGGUGGUUUAGUGGAGCUACGAGAGAUAUGGAGAUCCUGGAAUGGGGAGGAUGAAAGAUGGGAGGGGGAAAUCAUGUUUUAUUUUUAUUUUUUGUUUCUUUUGUAGAAUAUUUAUAAUAAAAAUCUAAGUUAUAUACCUAAUUUUUUAUCCCAUUCGGCACCCAUUUAACAUAAUGUGAGUCCCAUUGUACUGCCACACAAGCACAUUAACAGUAAACAUAACGGAAGGAUCAUUGCUCCAUAAUUUGACAAGUUGAAGGAUUAUAUCUAAUGAAUUUUUAGUUGAGGGACCAAAGCUACAAUUGACUUAAAGUUAAGGGACUAUAGCUACAAUUUUCUCUUUCUUAAAGUAGUCAUAUAGAAUGCACGGUGCAUGUAUGUGUUUGUGUAUAAUUGUAAGCAUUCUAAUCCUAUCUUACACAAGUUCUUAAUAACUUUCAUGCAUUUUGUGUCUUCUGAUUCUAUUUUGUUAUUUGCAGAGAUUUGUCUUACAAUUUUUUAUCAGGAAGCUUUCCCCAGUGGGUGACCACAACAUCGCAACUGUACGUGUUCUUUUAUCUUUCACCUUCAUUUUACAGUUUAAAUCACCAGAAUAUGUUCAGACAAAAAAUUAUCGCUGAGAUUCGUUUUCACAGUGCUACUUGCCUGCCUACUAAGUUUUGAUCUUGUACAUGGAAUUUUCAUUUGAUAAAGAUAUAUUUCUUCAUAUGUUGAUUGAUUAAUGAUUUUAUGCAGGAACUUAGUGGUCAACAACUUCACAUUUGACAAAAAAAACAUAACGUGAGUUGAAGUUUCUCUUACUCGUUUUUAGACGAGCAAUACUAUCACUACUCUUCCACUACAUGUUUCUAUUUGGAUAACUAAUAAUUGUUCCCUGUGUUUGCAGUCUUCCUGGAUUGAAUUGCCUCCAGAGAAAUUUUCCAUGCAAUCGAAAUGCCCCACGAUGUAAUCUGCUCUUAUGUCACCCAUCAUUUACUAUUUUAACGCAAUGUCAUGUUAGAGGAAAAGGCAUUGCUUCUCUAGUUAUGUAUACAUAUGGAUAUAGAUUGCAAGCAUGUUUUCAUAAGUUCAGUAAUACGCAUAACAGGUUAGAAAUAUGUGACAGAUGAACAUUAGCAUGAGUCUUCAAUUUGACGUUUCAUCGCUAAUCAUGGCUAGCUUCUGGUAUUACAUGAAACUUUACAGAUGCAAACUUCUCAAUCAACUGUGGUGGACCGCAAAUGACGGGAAGUGAUGGCAUAUUGUAUGAGGCUGAAGACUCAACUCUUGGCCCAGCAACAUUCAGUGUAACCAGUACAGAGAAAUGGGUUGUCAGCAAUGCCGGUUUGUUUUAUGAAAGAAAAAACCAAUCGUUUCUGCAAAAUACCCUUGCACAAGUCACUGGAACAAAUGUGACCCCGGAGCUUUUCCAGACUUCAAGAGUGUCCCCAGGAUCACUAAGAUACUAUGGCCUGGGCCUUGAGAAUGGGCCUUACACUGUAACAUUGCACUUUGCAGAGACGGUUUAUGAAAGUCGCACUUCGCAAAAAUGGGAAAGUCUAGGACGACGUGUAUUUGAUAUCUAUAUUCAAGUAAGGCUGCUUAUAGAAUAAAAAUUCUGACUUAUUUUAAGUAAACACUCAUUGGACAGGUUUUCGAUGUUUUAAGCUACAUUAACUAAAGACAGUGAUUUAAAGGAGACUAGAAUUAUCACCUAUCUCUUCAUUUGGUUGCUAGGGUACCCGCAGGACGAAGGACUUUGACAUAUCCAAGGAGGCAGGUGGGGCUAAACUAGGAAUUAUGAAAAGAUUCAAUGUUAGCGUGUCAGAGAAUUAUCUUGAAAUUCAUCUGUUCUGGGCUGGUAAAGGGACUUAUUGGAUACCCGAGAAGGGUUAUUACGGCCCACUAAUAGCAGCCGUCCAUGCUGCUUCAGGUAUAAUUUGUGUUAACCAGUUGGAUUUCCUGUGAAUGGUUUAAAUGUAUUUUUCUGCUGUUAAUUGACACUGAAAAAUUCUUCUGUUUUAUCGCUCAGAUUUUACACCAACAGUUUCCGGGCUUCCACCAACUACUCCAGGAAAGAAGAGCAGGACUGGGUUGAUAGUUGGUAUUGCAAUUCCUGUUGGAGCUGUGAGCUUGCUAUUAAUAUUUGCGAUUCUAUAUAUGAGGAAAAAAUCAGAAAAAGAGGAUGACGAAGGUAAACAACCAUUUUAUUAGUGGUAUCCAAUUCAGGUUUCUCUGCUCUGACAUUAACACACACAAGUAAAAAUGUUUUCACGAAAGUAAAACUUAUGUCACACUGUUUUGUGAAUGUGCAGAUAUUCUAGGAUUAGGCCCUCAACCAAAUACUUUCAGUUAUGUUGAGUUGAGAGCUGCAACCGAAGAUUUUAAUCCUUCAAAUAAGUUAGGAGAGGGAGGAUAUGGCCCUGUUUAUAAGGUGAAAUCCGUAUUACAUCAGUAUCAUGUACUUGAAGUAAUGACAAGAGAAAGGGAGAGAGAGCGAGAGAGCGAGAGAAGAAAAUAAAGCUUAUUUUUUCUUUCCUUUCAUGUCACUAAAUUGUGUUUCUGUGUACAUUGUAGGGUACACUUUUUGAUGGGAGAGUAGUGGCUGUUAAGCAACUUUCAGUAGCAUCUCACCAAGGGAACAGUCAAUUUGUAUCUGAAAUUGCUACCAUAUCUGCUGUGCAACAUCGGAAUCUAGUGAAAUUGUAUGGAUGCUGCAUCGAAGGCAGCCACCGCAUUUUGGUUUAUGAGUAUCUUGAAAACAAGAGCCUUGAUCAGGCACUUUUUGGUACAAACCUAUCUACUUUUAGGUUGCAUAGAAACAACAUUGUCUGCAGUUUCAAGCACUCUAAAAUUGUCAAGAAAUGUUUUUGAUUGGAUGUGUUCACUAAUAUUUCAGGAACAAGUAACUUGCACCUUGACUGGCCUACUCGAUUCAAUAUAUUGUUGGGAACAACAAGAGGACUUGCUUACCUUCAUGAGGAGUCAAGGCCAAGGAUUGUACAUCGAGAUGUCAAAGCGAGUAAUAUUUUGCUCGAUGCAAAACUCUCCCCAAUAAUAUCAGAUUUUGGACUGGCAAAACUUUAUGAUGACGAGAAAACCCACAUCAGCACUCGGGUUGCAGGGACAAUGUAAGCCAUCCUUUAUUGUUUUUUCCAGAGGAUACAUACAUUAUGGCCACACACAUUUAUACUUGCAUGAAAUUUUAACACACAUGUUAAUAAUGCCUCUAAUGAUCUCAAGCAACAUUGUGCAACCAUUUGAUUAUCUUGCAUUGCAGAGGCUAUUUGGCACCGGAGUAUGCAAUGUUUGGACAUUUGACAGAGAAGGCCGAUGUGUUUGGUUUUGGAGUCGUCGUUUUAGAGAUCCUCAGCGGGAGACCAAACUCUUACAAUAACUUGGAUCCAGAAAAGAUUUAUCUUCUUGAAUGGGUAGGAAUUGCAUUCGCCUAGCUUCAUUUAGGCAUUGUUGUGAAAAACUUAUUUAUACUUUCCUUUGAUCGUGGCAUAAUGUUUUUCAGGUAUGGACUCUACAUGAAAACGACCAAACUUUGGGGCUGAUGGAUCCGAGAUUGACAGAGUUUGAUGAAACUGAAGCAACUAGAUUGAUAAGAGCAGCUCUCCUGUGCACGUAGGGAUCACCGAUGGCACGACCAUCUAUGUCACGUGUGGUUGCAAUGCUCUCUGGAGACAUUGACAUAAGCACUGUCAUGUCGAAGCCAAGCUAUUUGACAGAUUAUGAUUUUAAAGGUGUAACAACAUCGUUAACAAGUAGAUUUUUGGUGGAGGAUGAUACCCCAUCAACUUCAUCCAAGGGUAGUAAUGUUCGCCUCAACUAUCAAUCUGGAGGCAGCAAUGCAAGUGGUGCUAACACUCCCUAGAUUGACCCUAAACCUUCUGUAAACAUCACUUAAUCACUGCUCGCUAGCAUUAGAGGAGAAGGAAGGUGAUAAAUAUCGGGAAAUGAUUUUCGCAUACUCUUUUUACCCCUUUGUGCACCCUUGUACUUGUUUUGGACUCUUUCCUUUUAUAUAAUACACAUUUUAAUAAUUAAUUGUAAUUGUAAUUUAGCUUUGGCUUUUGGUAGUGGGCAGGGGACUGGCAUGCCAGAUUUGAAUAUACCUUAGCAGAUGGAUGUAUAUCCUACUUAUUCAUACACAAUGUUUAUAGAUAUGUUCAUGAACCACCACCACUGGAUGGAGAUCCCACCACUAAAAAUUAAGAAUGUGUUCAGGGAAUUCAGAUAAUUUAAUAAGGCCUUUUGGGGUCUAUAAAUUGAGCCUUGAUGUUGAUGGUCCAGUUGCAGAAUAAAGAAGAAAAUGCCUUUUUGGGUCUAUAAAAUGAGCCUUGAUUUUGAUUGGACGUGUUCACUAAUAUUUCAGAGACAAGUAACUUGCACCUUGGCUGGCCUACUUGAUUCAAUAUAUUGUUGGGAACAGCAAGAGGACUUGCUUACCUCCAUGAGGAGUCAAGGCCAAGGAUUGUACAUCAAGAUGUCAAAGCCAUUAAUAUUUUGCUCGAUGCAGAACUCCCCCCAAAAAUAUCAGAUUUUGGAUUGGCAAAGCUUUAUGAUGGCGAGAAAACCCACAUCAGCACCUGGGUUGCAAGGACAAUGUAAGCCAUCCUUUAUUAUUUUUCCACAGGAUACAUAUAUUAUAGCCACACAUUUAUACUUGCAUGAAAUUUUAACACAAAUCAUGUUAAUAAUGCCACUCAUGAUCUAAAGAAACAUUGUACAACAAUUUGAUUAUUGCAUUGUAGAGGCUAUUUGGCACCCGAGUAUGCAAUGCGUGGACAUUUGAUAGAGAAGGCUGAUGUGUUUGGUUUUGGAGCUGUUGCUUUGGAGAUCCCAAGCAGGAGACCAAACUCUGACAAUAACUUAGAUCCAUAAGAGAUUUAUCUUCUUGAAUAGGUAGGAAUUGCAUUCCCCUAGCUUUAUUUUGGCAUUGUUGUGAAAAACUUAUUCACCCUUUCCUUGGACCAUGGCAUAAUGUUUUUCAGACAUGGACUCUACAUGAAAAUGACCAAAUUCUGGGGUUGGUGGAUCCGAGAUUGACAGAGUUUGACGAAACUGAAGCGACUAGACAGAUAAGAGCAGCUCUCAUGUGCACGCAUGCAUCACCAAUGAUGAGGCCAUCUAUGUCACGCGUGGUGGCAAUGCUCUCUGGAGAUAUUGACAUAGGCACUAUCAUGACGAAGCCGAGCUAUUUGACAUAUUAUGAUUUUAAAGAUGUAACGACAUUGUCAACAGGUAGCUUUUUUAUGAAGGAUGAUACCCCAUCAAAUGCAUCCAAGCAUAGUAAUGACCGCCUCAACUAUGAGCCUGAAGGCAACAAUACAAGUGGUGCUAACACCCCCCGUGGUUGACCUUGCGCCUUAUCCAGUAAACGUCACGCAAUCACUGCUCGCUGGCAUUAUUAGAGAAGGAAGGUGAUAAAUAAUGGGAAAUGAUUUAUGCACGCCUUUUAUCCUUUUGUGCACCGAUGUACUUGCCCUUGAGUAAAACUUACAUGUCAAUUUUGUGUUAGUAUGUUCGGUGUAAAUCUCCACUUUUAAUCAAAAGGAAAAGAAUGGAUGUUUCUUUUUCUAUAGUUUGUGCUAUUCACACACCCAUUUUAAUUUCUCACACAUUUUUUUGGUAAUUUUUGUCUUUUGGUAUUUUUUAAUUCAUUCGAUCCGACGGUCGAAAAUUGAGAAGAAUGAGUGGAGGUAAAAUAGGUGUGAAUAGCACCACCCUUUUCUAUCUGAUACCCAAGUAGGUAUAAUAAAACAUAAGCAAUCUUAGUAGAUGCCUAUAAACAAAAGCCACGAGUUGGCUCUAGAUGAGUUAUUGUCAAUUGUUGAUUCUUUACGGUGUCAUCCUAAUGUGACUCUUUGGUAGGGUUUUUGCAUACGCCAACUUUUUUACAUGAAUGAUUAUGAAUUGUUGGUCGAACAGUGUCACCUGAAGAAAAUCUUUGGUUAAAUUGCUAUGCAAGUGUCGCCUUUCUCACAUGAGUGGUCUCAACGGUGGGGCCCGAGUAAAACCAAAAUGUAGGGAAGUUCAUGCUCACCAAAGCAAAUCUCAGUUGAAAAAUAACCUCGGAACAAUAAAAAAUUCCAAAGCAAGAUCAACCUGUUUAAGGCUAUGGUGCUCAUCUAGUUGUCUUUGUGCCUUUUUUCUUUACAUUUGGAAGUGCCAGUGCCAGAUCACUUGAGGCAGCAAGUCCAGGCCCCAUAUUUUAUUCGUCUCUAUUGCCUACACUGAAAGUGACCAUUAGAAUUCGUCUCUAUUCGUCACUCACUUUGCUCUUCUCUGCAAAAGUAUUAAUUACAUGUACACACACACUUAUUAGCAGCAUAUAUACACCUAUAUAUAUAAUCUCUCUUAGUAUCAUCAGAACUCAAAGAAAGAAGGAGAGCUUUGGAGAAGUGAAAGUAGUAGCAGAAACUAGAAGAAGAAAGGGAGACAUUUUAGUCUCCCCCCAGAAGCUGAGGUUGUUGCCCGUCAAGAAGUGUUUGUACGUGGUCAAGGCAAGCACCUUUUUGACCAUCUUAUCUGGCUUCAAAUUCGCAUUCACUACCUCUUCUAGAAUCACAUCGAACACCUUCUUGAAAUCAGCCCUCCAGUCCUGGCUUUUGAUCAAAGUCUGCAUAAUAUUCGGCCCUCGAAUUAAGAUCCUCGCCUUGUAUCGAAUGCAGUUAAGGGUUUUUGCUUUAAGUGACCUCAUUUCCCUUCCAUCGCUCGUCACUCAAUUACAACAACAACAACAACAAAGCCUUUUCCCAUUAAGUGGGGUCGGCUAUAUGAAUCCUAGAAUGCCAUUGCGCUUGGUUUUGUGUCAUGUCCUCCGUUAGAUCCAAGUACUCUAAGUCUUUUCUUAGGGUCUCUUCCAAAAUUUUCCUAGGCCUUCCUCUACCCCUUCGGCCCUGAACCUCUACCCCUAGGCCUUCUUUGCACAUGUCCAAACCACCGUAAUCGAUUUUCUCUCAUCUUUCCUUCAAUUUCGGCUACUCCUACUUUACCUCGGAUAUCCUCAUUCCCAAUCUUAUCCUUUCUCGUGUGCCCACACAUCCCACGAAGCAUCCUCAUCUCCGCUACACCCAUUUUGUGUACGUGUUGAUGCUUCACCGCCCAACAUUCUGUGCCAUACAACAUCGUUGGCCUUAUUGCCGUCCUAUAAAAUUUUCCCUUGAGCUUCAGUGGCCUACGACGGUCACACAACACGCCGGAUGCACUCUUACACUUCAUCCAUCCAGCUUGUAUUCUAUGGUUGAGAUCUCCAUCUAAUCCGUUCUCUUGCAAGAUAGAUCCUAAGUAGCGAAAACGAUCACUUUUUGUGAUCUUCGCUAGAUUGCUCCGGUCAUUAGUGUGGAUAAGUAUAUAAAUGGAUAGAGAUAGGAAAGCAAACACAAGAUGUACGUGGUUCACCCAGAUUGGCUACGUCCACGAAAUAGAGGAGUUCUCAUUAAUUGUGAAGGGUUUACACAAGUACAUAGGUUCAAACUCUCCUUUAGUGAGUACAAGUGAAUUAUUUAGUACAAAUGACAUUAUGAAAUAUUGUGGGAGAAUGAUCUCGUAGUCACGAAACUUCUAAGUACCAGAGUGUGGUAUAGUCUUGACUUGCCUUAUCUGUCUCAUAGGUAGAUGUGGCAUCUCCUCUGGAAGUACUCUUCCUCCAUCCAGGGGUGGUAUCUUUAACUGGUGGAGAUGCACAAGGUAAUGUAUCAAUUUCACUUGAAGCUUACUUGUAGUUUCAGGCUUGGUCAAGCGCGAUACAAACCAUGUAGUAGGAGUCCCCCAAGUCGCCGAGCUAGGGGAUCUGCUGAAAGAGGUGACAGACAAGUUAAGCAAUUAGAGCUCCAAGCAAUCAGUCCUAGAUCAGAACUUUGAUUUCGAGUUCCGGCUGAUUGUUCACAUUCUCCCUAUCUUGCAGGCAGCAUGAAGGAUAAAGAAAAGAAAAAUGAGAAUAUAUGAUAUGGGAUACUUUUGCUUUUGAAGAAGUAAUUUUCCACAGGCUUAUUCUUGAACUGGGCUGAAGGGUUUUCUGGUUUCCUCCAGAGUAUAAGGCCGACUGAAGAAUUUGAGGGUCAAAACAAGUCCAUCAAAUCUAGAGUACGUUCGACCCUGCUGAUAUGGGAUACUUUUGCUUUUGACAGAGUAGUGGAUGUAUCGGCACGUGUGCUGUUACGCUUGUCUCCACAUGCUUCCUUGUAUCCUUCUCACUUGCCCUAUCUGUUCCUCAGGCAGAUGCAGUAUCUUCCCUGGAAGCAUAAGAUGUUAAAGAUGAGUACUCGAGAGCAAUGCCAGGUAAGUUAUCAGGUAAGGGGUUUCAGGCAGUCAGUUCCUGACUGGAAGCUUGAUUCCAAGUGCUGACUGAUUGCUCUAUUUCUCCUUGUCUUGCAGGUAAGAACAAGGCCAAAGGAAAAGACAGGGAAAAAGCAUGAUAUGGGAUACUCUUACUUUUAACCCUGAUGAUAUGAGAUAUUCUUGCUCUAGUAUAGCUUGUUUGUAGAGGUAUUAUCGGGGGAAAAGAAAGCUGAAUAUUUCGAAAGGCUUCGUUGGGAGUGCCCUCUCAGAUAUGAGGAAAGGUUGAGCAUUUUUGCAGGUCUGCCUGUCCGUUAGGGAUGGAAGUCGACAUAUAUAAGAGUCUCCCUAACAAGUAGUAAUGCUAUUCUUUUACCCUGCUUGGUCAUAACACGGUAGUGGGAGCUGCCAGCUUCACAUGUUUUAACUCUGUCAGAGCACUUUGAAAAAGUGAUCUGUGGUAUCUGGAAAACUGAUGUUGCGUGUGAAGAUUACAGACAAGCUUUAUCCAAGGAGAUCCGGCUUUUGAAGUUGGGAAAGUGGUGCCUCUUCGGUUUUCGAACAAGUAAUCCUGUCGAGAAUCUGGCUCUCGAGAUUCGAAGAACGAUGCCUCUUCAAUUUUUGAGAAAGCAAUCAUGCUGGAGGUCUGGCUCUCGAGAUUCGGAGAGCGGUGUCUCUUCGAUUUUUGAGAAAGUAAUCAUGUUGGGAGUCUGGCUCUUGAGAUUCGGAGGGCGGUGCCUCUUCGAUUUUGGAGCGAGCAAUCUUGUUGGGAGUUUUCUCGAAUAUGAGUAAAGGUUGGGCAUGUUUGCUAGUCUACCUUGCCACGAAGCACAGAGAUUGACACACAGGGACUUUCCAAUUAUCCAGCAGUGGUAUUGUUCCUUUACCCUUAUGGGUAAUAAUAUGGUAGCUAGACCUUCAAAAUUUAUGUGUCUAAACUUUGUUAGUGCUGUUUCUUUGCUAUUCUUUUACCCUUCUUGGUCAGAGCGAUGUAGUGGGAGCUGCAAGCUUCACGUGUCUCAACUUUGUCAGAGAACUUUGGCAAAGUUAUCUGUGGUACCCAUGAGCUAAUGUUGCGUGUGGGAAGUGGGUGAUUGAACAGUAAGAUUCAUGUGCUUUCUACUUCACCAGAAAUCUUCGACAGAAUGCCCAUAAUUUCCGCAAAGCUGAGUGUGUGCGUGACAGGUGCUGACAAGGCUGGAAAAGUAGGUGCCUCUUCGAUUUCUGAAAUCGGCCCUCGUAGUCUCUGAGCAGCCCAGCUUUUAAGAAAGCAAGCGCCUUUUCGAUUUCUGAGAUCGGCCUUCGUGGUCUUUGAGCAGCCUAGCUUUUGAGAAAGCAAACGCCUCUUCGAUUUCUAAGAUCGACCCUCGUGGUCUCUGAGCAGCCCAACUUUUGAGAAAGCAAACGCCUCUUCGAUUUCUGAGCAGGCGCCUCUUCGAUUUCUGAAGCUCCGUCGAGUGCAGAUUUUUAUAGAGGCUGACAUUAAGUUCCAAAGCACACUUAAAUCUCCACCAGUAGAAGCUCCAUUCUUGCGCUUCUAAGAUCUUGAUUUGUCUGACCUCUUCUCUAUUCAACACCUUUGAAAAUGUCUGGCCCCUCCGACCGUCGUUUUGACUUGAACCUUGUUGAAGAGGCAGCCACGUCUUCUCCAGACAACAUAUGACGCCCAUCCUUCGUCUCCCCUACUGGUCCUCUUACCGUUGGGGAUUCCGUGAUGAAGAAUGAUGACCGCUGCAGUGGUGGCCAGAAACCUUCUCAUUCCCAAAGAUAACAGACUACUUUCCAAACGGUCUGAUAAGUUGGUUGUUAAGGAUUCUCUGGCUCUCAGUGUUCAGUGUGCAGGUUCUGUGUCUAAUAUGACCCAACGCCUAUUUGCUCGAACCCGCCAAGUUGAAUCAUUGGCGGCUGAAGUGAUGAGUCUCAAACAGGACAUUAGAGGGCUCAAGCAUGAGAAUAAACAGUUGCACCGGCUCGCACAUGACUAUGCUACAAACAUGAAGAGGAAGCUUGACCAGAUGAAGGAAUCUGAUGGUCAGGUUUUACUUGAUCAUCAGAGAUUUGUGGGUUUGUUCCAAAGACAUUUAUUGCCUUCGUCUUCUGGGGCUGUACCGCAUAAUGAAACUCCAAAUGAUCAACCUCUGAUGCCUCAUCCUUCUAGGGUUCUGUCCAGUACUGAGGCUCCGAAUGAUCCCCCUCUGGUGCCUUCUCUUUCUGGGGCUCUACCGACUGCUGAGACUUCUCUUAAGCAACCUUUGUGAAGGCUCCCUCAUGUUUGUUUAUUUUGACUCAUGUAUAUGUACAUAUUUGUAACUUAUCGGAGAUAUCAAUAAAUAAGCUUUCCUUCAUUUCAAUGUAUUGUGUUAAAUACACCAAAACCUUCUUCGCUAAGUUCUUUGAAUUUUCUUUUGUUGAAGCUUGUAUGUUGAAGCUUUGUGAGUGGAGCAUGUAGGUUAAGGUAGUGUUCCCUUAAUUUCCCGAGGGAGGAAAACUUCUCGGUUGGAGACUUGGAAAAUCCAAGUCACUGAGUGGGAUCGGCUAUAUGAAUCUUAGAACGCCAUUAUGCUCGGUCAUGUGUCAUGUCCUCCGUUAGAUCCAAGUACUCUAAGUCUUUUCUUAGAGUCUCUUCCAAAGUUUUCCUAGGUCUUCCUCUACCCCUUCGGCCCUGAACCUCUGUCUCAUAGUCGCAUCUUCUAAUCGGAGCGUCAGUAGGCUUUUUUUGCACAUGUCCAAACCACCGUAACCGAUUUUCUCUCAUCUUUCCUUCAAUUUCGGCUACUCCUACUUUACCCCGGAUAUCCUCAUUCCUAAUCUUAUCCUUUCUCGUGUGCCCACACAUCCAACGAAGCAUCCUCAUCUCCGCUACACCCAUUUUGUGUACGUGUUGAUGCUUCACCGCCCAACAUUCUGUGCCAUACAGCAUCGCCGGCCUUAUUGCCGUCCUAUAAAAUUUUCCCUUGAGCUUCAGUGGCAUACGACGGUCACACAACACGCCGGAUGCACUCUUCCACUUCAUCCAUCCAGCUUGUAUUCUAUGGUUAAGAUCUCCAUCUAAUUCUCCGUUCUUUUGCAAGAUAGAUCCUAGGUAACGAAAACGGUCGCUCUUUGGUAUUUCUUGAUCUCCGAUCCUCACCCCUAACUCAUUUUGGUCUCCAUUUGCACUGAACUUGCACUCUAUAUAUUCUGUCUUUGCUCGGCUUAGGCGAAGACCUUUAGAUUCCAACACUUCUCUCCAAAGGUUAAGCUUUGCAUUUACCCCUUUCUGAGUUUCAUCUAUCAACACUAUAUCGUCUGCGAAAAGCAUACACCAAGGAAUAUCAUCUUGAAUAUGUCAUGUUAACUCAUCCAUUACCAACGCAAAAAGGUGAGGACUUAAGGAUGAGCCUUGAUGUAAUCCUACAGUUAUGGGAAAGCUUUCAGUUUGUCCUCAUGAGUUCUUACGGCAGUCUUUGCUCCUUCAUACAUAUCCUUUAUAGCUUGGAUAUAUGCUACUCGUACUCCUUUCUUCUCUAGAAUCCUCCAAAGAAUGUCUCUUGGGACUCUAUCAUACGCUUUUUCCAAAUCUAUAAAGACCAUGUGUAAAUCCUUUUUCCCAUCUCUAUAUCUUUCCAUCAAUCUUCGUAAGAGAUAAGAUUGCCUCCAUGGUUGAGCGCCCUGGCAUGAACCCGAAUUGGUUGUCCGAAACCCGUGUCUCUUGCCUCAAUCUAUGCUCAAUGACUCUCUCCCAGAGCUUCAUUGUAUGACUCAUUAGCUUAAUACCCCUAUAGUUCAUGCAAUUUUGUACGUCGCCCUUAUUCUUGUAGAUAGGCACCAAAGUGCUCGUUCGCGCCACUCAUUUGGCAUCUUCUUCGUUUUCAAAAUCCUAUUGAAAAGGUCAGUGAGCCAUGUUUAUACCUGUCUCUCCCAAAACUUUCCACACUUCGAUUGGUAUAUCGUCUGGGCCUACUGCUUUUCUAUGCUUCAUCUUCUUCAAAGCUACAACCACUUCUUCCUUCCGGAUUCGACGAUAAAAAGAGUAGUUUCUACACUCUUCUGAGUUACUCAACUCCCCUAAAGAAGCACUCCUUUCAUGUCCUUCAUUGAAAAGAUUAUGAAAAUAACCUCUCAAUCUGUCUUUAACCGUGUUCUCUGUAACAAGAACCUUUCCAUCCUCAUCCUUGAUGCACCUCACUUGGUUUAGGUCCCUUGUCUUCUUUUCCCUUGCUCUAGCUAGUUUAUAGAUAUCCAACUCUCCUUCUUUGGUAUCUAGUCGCUUAUACAUAUCGUCAUAAGUCGCUAACUUAGCUUCUCUCACAGCUUUCUUCGCCUCUUGCUUCGCUUUUCUAUACAUUUCCCCAUUUUCAUCGGUCCUAUCCUUGUAUAAGGUUUUACAACAUUCCUUCUUAGCCUUCACCUUUGUUGUACCUCCUCAUUCCACCACCAAGAUUCCUUUUGGUGUGGGGCAAAGCCAUUGGACUCUCCUAAUAUCUCUUUUGCUACUUUUCAGAUACAACUAGCCAUGAAUAAUAUCAAAACUCUCACCCGUUUUUCUCCCCGUUUUUCUCUCACCCUCCAUUUCUGCAAAUCACCUACCUCCCUCUCUCCCUAUGUACUCCCUACUUCUCUCAUAAUAUCAAAACUUUCAAACCCAAUUCAAUGCCUCAUUACCUAGUUUUUUUUUUGUAUAUCUUUUUCAACUAAACCCUAAACAAUCUACUGCUGCAAGCAACAUAACGUCCACUUUGCAGAUUUUUGUGGAACCACUUUGCAGGUUUUGUGGAACCACUUUAAAAAUUCAAAUCUUUAAGCACCUGAGUACUGGAAAUUCAAAACUUCAAUAGGCAUCCCUCCUUACCACAGAUAUGUAGUUUUAAAAAUAAAACCAAAAGGAUUAAUUCCAAUUAACAUAUAACUUUAAAACUACCAUAGUAAUAUUGAUUAAUUAAACUACUUUUUAAAUAUGCCCAGCAAGGUAACUUUUGGGUUUGACAAAAAUUUUAAACCUACGAAGGGAUAUAUCAAAAUCAAUUUGUAAGUAUGACAAAAGUCCCUAUGACAGUAUCAAAGCAACUAUAAUCAUAAAGAAGUUGAGAGAUUACUGUCUGAUUAUCAAAACCACUACUGGAUUUAUGCAGACACAAAAUCUCACAAUAUUAUUACCACGACCUUAUGCAUAACAGGAACAACACUAUAAUCAUUUGCCUAACAGACAUUAACUCUUCUACAACAGCAAGUUUAACAACCAACCAACCUUUGAACAAAGAACACACAGACAGAAAGAAGCGGGAUAGAUAAGGGGCAAAGCAAUUUUCUUACUUCUACAUCAAAGCAAAAGAACAACCAUUAUAUAGGUAUGCCAUUAUCAUCUGAAGAACAAAUCCAAUUGGCAGCUUUUAGGUACCUACAAUUAUAAGCAAAGUUUGGAAUUCACAAAAAAUACUGGGCAAAUACUAAGGCUACCAUUUGAAAAAGCUAAACAACAACAAACUUUGACAUAUUAACUACAACUAAAUUCAGAUGACAUUCGAUAUAUGAAGACAAUCUGAUAAAUCAAAGGCUCUAAAAUCAAUACCAUAUUUCAUGUGCCUUUUAUUGAUAGUGAACCCAACAGUAGAAUCAGGACAAAAAUUUGAUUUAAAACCUUGCUAUCUUUGUCCUUGUAAAUAUGAUAUUUUGGCAUCAACAAUAUAUCACGAAAAAAAAAAACCAAAUAUAUAUGAACUCAAAGAAAAUAUAGAACGAAAAUAAAAAAGCAAAUUAUGAACAUUUAGAAGCUAAUUUCAUUAGCAAUUAAAGCAACCAAGCUCUCUCAACAUCAAGAUUCAGAACCCCCCAGGAACCCAAAAAUUUGAUGAAAACUUUUCUAAUCACUCAAUUGGAUUAGACAAAAUCAUAAAAAAAAAUUCUAAAGCCCAAUUAUAUUAAAUCACAAAUUUGAAGCAGAAUUUGACAUGCAAUAAGUCAAUAAGAUUGGAAUCACUUCAGACUAACCUCGAUGGCAGGGCCUCCGGAAUCGCCCGAUCCGAACCAACCAAAAAAAAUCUAUUAACUUGAACUUCAACCUAACUAUAAAGAGGAGCUUUAUAACAUCAACAUGCCAAAACAACCAAGCCCAACAAAUUAACAAACUAAUUUUUCUUAAUCAAUAAUAGCAUACAUAUUAUCAAAUUAUCAAUCAAUAAUUCACAUAUCGUUAAGGGUUAAACAAAUAUAUGAAGACUGGAAAUUUACUCACACAUCUAAUAUAUCCUUGCAUUUCUAUUUCAAUUUAGAAUACGUGGAAAUCACAUCAACAAAUCAAAGCCCUAAAUUUUUAUCAUCCUGAACUGGAAAAAUCUGUAAAAUCUAAAAUUUUUGACUAAAAAUGCUAACUUAGGAAUAGGAGGAAAUUUGCAAAUUAGCUAAACAAUGCUAUUAUUUAUCCAAUCAAAGGCAAAUUGGAGUGGUGCAGAACUAACACUACAAAAUUCGUUAAACUAAACAAUGGGUAGAAUGUUUAUAAGAUUUAUAUUUUAUACAAAAAUUAAUCUUCUAAAAAAGCAAAAAACACAAUUUUUUUGUUAAGCAAUCGCAUGGAUUAUAAAUGCCAAAGAUUAGAUGAUGGUAGGCGUCAGAUUACCUCUUUAGCCGAAGAUGCGAAACCCCUCAUUGCCGACAUGGCGGGGAGGAUCUUCUGCCCCAAAAUCUGAACCAACACAAAGAUUAGGCAGUAAAUCACAUAAUAAUAAAUUAAUCAAGUGUUUUAUAUAAUGAAGGUUCAUAAAUUGCAGAAGUAGAGGGUGUACCAUAACUGAUGAGCUUCCAACUCCCACUUUUUGCCUUAAAAUUCCCAACAUCUUUGAUUCUUUCACACAAAAUCACACUGAACGCAAACAGAAAUCAGAGACAAAAUACGAUCUAAGAACUGAAAAUUUCAGUGAAAGCACCGAGAGAGAUGAGGAGGAAUAACAAAUGAUUUACUGGAAAUAUGGAAAAGAAAAAAAACCAGAUCAAAAUUCGGACAGAAAUAAACAAUACGAAUUAGGGGAUUUGGGAGGGGGGACGAACCUGUUUGGCGGAUUGGAGCGGGGAUCAGAUCGACGAUGCGAUGUGUAAAAAAUGAGCGUUGAGGGAGCGGAGCAGCAGCAGCCAACACUUUCAUGCAGAACUUACUUGGAAAACCCAGAUCAAACCAACCUUUAAGUUUCAAGGUUUUUACCCUGGAAUCCAGGCAAAACCAGAUUAGAUUCUAAAUGGGUUUAUCAAAAAUAAUAAUUUGAUCAGAAAUGCUUAUUCCUGUAGUGGGUGUACAUCUGGUACUGCGUAUUCUUGUAAAUUGUCGUUGCAAUAAUACAAUAUUACUCAAAAUGAUGCAGUGGUGGGUGUACCGUGUACGGAUUAAGGAGGGUUUUAGGUGAAUGUGAUCAGCCUACCCAUGUGUCUAAUAAAUUAAAAUAAUAAAAUGGUAUGUGAUGUGAUAUGUUUUAGGUCAAUAUAAUAAUAAAAUAUUAAACAAUGAGCUGUAAAGGAAGAUAUUGCUCUUAGGUCAUCUUCAACCAAAGGUUGACUAAAGGGCUCGUUUUAACCUUCUGAUCCUUUAAGAUAUUAAUAUUUUAAUAAACAAUACAUGAUCAUAUUUGCCUUCAUCUCCAACCAAGAGUCAAAGGGCCAAAGAGCCCGUUUUAACCCUGUCAUAAAAAACCAUAUCCAACAGAGGGUCAAAGGGUUAUAGUAUGGAAUGUGAAGAAUUGAAAUAAAAUAAGGUAAGAUAGUAUGAAAUGAUGCAGAAAAAAUUAGAAAUUCAAAAAAUAAAUAAAUAAACGUCCAAAAAAAAUGGCAUGUUGAAAAAAAAUACAAAAAUGGGCUGGGACCAAAAAGUGACAAUUUCCCUUGGCCUGAAAGCCCUAAACUAGGCUGAAAGAACCAAAAAAAAAAGAGCAGAAACUGGGUUGGGCAGCAAGUGGAAAAGAAAAAAAAUAAAAAAAUAAAACAAAAUGGGCUAGCCAGCGGGUUGGCUGGCUGAAGAUGGCCAGCCAGUUGGCCAUUUGGCCCAUUCAGAUUUCGUGGGGCCCACGAGCCCUCUGGCUUAGCCCUCGGUUAGAGACGAUUUUCGGGUUAUUUCGGCUUGGACCCUUCGGUUAGAAAUGACCUUAUAUUCGGAGUAGGAUAUUCUCCCCUCUUUUUUUCCCUCCUCUUCCCUCUCCCUAUUUGAACAGUCACGGUUAAUCGCGUCAACAUCUUAUAUUAAUUUUUUAUAGAAAGAGAAAGACAAAAUGAAAAAUGUGAAACGAGGGAACGAAAUACGAUGGAAAGAUGAGGGAAGAGAAUCCUAAUCCCUUAUCUUCUUCGUGAGUUUUUUCAGACAGUGAGAUAGUGAGUAUAUAUUACACUCUGUAUUUGUACCCUGCCAUGAAUGAUUAAAGUUUCACUUGGUCAGGAAUUAUUAAAGAUACAGCAAUUACCCUUCUAAGGUGAAAUCAAGCCCAAAUCUGAUGAGGUUCUUAUAAAUAAGGUGAAAUCAAGGGCCAAUCUGUCCCAUAUCCUAUGGACAAAAUUACCCUUCUAAGUUCUAAUAAUUACCAUUCCAACCCAGCCCAAAUCUAAUGGGUUUCUUGUAAAUAAGGUGAAAUUGAGAAGGAAAAAUUUAACUGUAGCUGAAUGAACAGUAAAUCAUUCCUCAAUUUUAGAAUAGAUAGCUAGAAAGUGUAGCUCGGGCGUUGCUGUGGGAAAUGUGAUUCACGCAUUACUGUGGCAUUGGAAAUUGUAUGACAUAUUUUGAUGCACUAAGUUAGAAAACGACUACAUGUGCAAACAAUGCAAAUAACUAAAUUAGACACAAGCCAACUAAUUUCAAUUUUAACCAAAUCAGAAAAACAAUCACAGUCGAACUAAUCUCUACUUCCCAUAUGAAGUAGAAGAUGUCCCCUGUUUUGCAUCUGUGAACCGCGCGGUUUUCACCCUCUACGGACAAAAAGAUGAAAGUAAAAUUGUUUAACAACAUUAUAAAAAUUAUGCAUACAAUAUUAUAUAUGUAUUUGCACAUAAAGUAUAAAGAUUUACUAACAGAUUCGAGGUUAAAUUUAACAAAAUAAGUAAUUAUGAAUGGAAAUCAAACUAUAUCAUAGUUGUUAAAAAAUACUUUUGGCUAAAUCUUACAAAUAGAAUGAAAAUGUCUUUUACCAACUGAAUGAUGCAUAAAAUCGUUAAUUUCAAAAUAAACCAACUUUAAAAAAUCCUAACACGAUAUGACAUUGUAAAAAACCUUAAACCCGUUACUGGAACAAACCUCAAAAUGGCCACUAAUUGUUCUGGAUGGGACACACCAAUUUUUACCAUGAGAAAAAAGCAACUCCAAACCCAAAUUAAGCAUUUGAUAAAUCGUAUUUACUGAAGAGAAUUUAAUUUUUUUUUGAAGGGGAAGCUUACCAGGGUUAGCAAAGUUAAAUUCGAAAGUGGAAGAAUAUUGACAUAAACAUAGUAGUGGGAUUGAUGAUGGAUUCAGUAUGUUAUUUUGUAUCAAUUCAAAUGGAUGAAAACUAUUAAAGGAGCUAUAGGUCACAGUUUGGAGUAUGCAAAAGUACUACUUCAAAUUUUCAAGUUUGGAGUAUGCAAAAGUACUACUUCAAAUUUUCAAGAUGCUCAGUAGAUCUCUAAAUUUCAAAAAGUGUACAAAUUGAAACUAAUAGAGCUAUUUCUAACUUUCCAAAAGUAUUUAAAUUGAAACUAAUAGAUCUUUCUUCUGUAUACUGAUAAUUUAAGAAUUGAAACUAAUUUAACUCUUUUGGAUAUUGAUACUUUAAUAUUUGCUACAAAAAAUGAAUCCAUAACUUUCUUAGAGCACGAAAUUGGAGCUAACAUAAAAAAAAGAAAAUGUAUCAAAUUAACAAUAUGCAAUCAAUUAACAAUUUCAUAACAAAACAACUAAAAAGUCAGACCCAGGGAACACAUAUUUUAUUCGCUUUUGAAUACCAAUUAAGAAAAAAUCUUAUGAUAAAAUUCAAAACCCACAUAAACAAAAAAUUCUAUUAAACUGAAAUCUCCCUAGGAAUAGAGCAUGCUUACAGAAACUUUCCUUUAUGUUGAGAUUGAUUCCGGCAGUUAAUGAAGUUGCAGUGUUUUCUUUGUUUUGGGAGCCAUUCAUACCUGAAGAAACAUUUAAGUAUCAAAUUCCUUCACAAAAUGAGUUUUCACAUAAUCUGAAAAAGGUCUUUUAAUCACAAUCUUAAGAAACAGAACAACCAAUAUAUACACAAUGACAAAGCUUAAUCGAAUGAAAAAUGUAACCACAGUAGACCAAACAAAUGUAACCUUUUGAAUAAAGUAUUUUUAAAUCAUUCGCUGCAAAAGCAGGAAAAACAGAUGGCAAACACAGUUAGUUUUGGAUUAGGUUUAGAAUAUAAUUCAAAAUCUCAUCUGUAACCUUGUUUCCAUCUUGAUCAGCGGCAGUUAAAACCGAUUUGAAAACCUAAUCACAUAAUCAGUUUCUAGCUCGAACAAAAAAGGACAGUUUUUACAGCGAUAAAAAAGUCCGUAAUAAAAGGAUUUUUACCAUCCAUGAACCAGCCACUAUCCGAAGAUGUGUAUGCUUUCGUAACAAUAAGGUUGAGAUCAGUAAGUACUUCUACAACUUCCAGAAGUAUUCCAUGUUUGUUUGCUCUGUUAUUAUUUACAAUCCUAAGAGAAACAAUAUUGGAUGAAAGAUGUGUAAGUUUGAACAAGGGAGAUGGUAAAUAGUUGAAGUGAUUUUGAGGAAUUUAAGGUAUGAUUUAUGCAUAUAGCUUGGUAGGUUCAUUCUCCGCAUGAGUUUCUCAUACUCAUCAUCCAUGUCAUGCGAAAAGCUUAUACUAACUUUUGCAGAAAGUCACCUAAAAAAAUGAAAAAUAAAAUUAGACAAAAGGUUAAAGAGAACAAAAAAACUAAUUGGAGAGAUGAACAGAACCAUUGUAACCAAUCGGAAAAUGACUGUUAAAUGUCACUCAAAAAAAAAAAAAAAAAAAAGAAGAGAGAGAGAGAGAGAGAGAGAGAGAGAGAGAGAGAGAGAGAGAGAGAGAGAGAGAGAGAGAAAUUUCAAUUGGGAUAAAAAUCCCAACUUUCUCAGAGAACUAUCUCAUAACAUACAAAUACCAUUGUUUAGGAGUUAGUUGUAAUUGCAAAAUUUAAUUGGAAGCUAUACAGAGAAAUGUAUAAUAUUUGAAUACGGACAUACCAUUCUGAAUAUUGUGUGAAAUCUACUACUCCAAGCAUUCAUAUUUGUUCUCCAAAGUGCCUAUUAACUGUAAGAAACAUUUUUGCAGGAGUAUGUAAGAAUGAACAUUCAAGUAAAAAAGUAUAGUGAAAAAUCAUUUGUAAAUCGACACAAACACAUGUGGAGGUAGAAAAAAGAUUAGGAUACCGUACACUUUGCGUUGUUGCAUGUUAAAAAGUGUAAUUGCUAUAAAAAGCAGCAGGAGUCUGUCAGUGACUUUGAAGGUGUUUUAUGUGUUUCUUUGAAAAACAUGUUUGACCCUUACUUAUAAAAUUUCUAUUAUGGUCAUGAAAGGUUUUUUCAAAACAAUUUGUUGAUUGAUCCAGUGUGUUAACAACGUUUUCCGCUUUUUAUCCCUUGUUGAUUGAAAAAGACUUAAAAACUAAUGAAAAAUGAUUUCGUUAAAGUAAAUAGUACCAUAAUUGUAACGAGAGGACUGUAAAAUGGGAUGCGUGGGAUUGGUCAUCCACACAUUGAAUGGCUUAUAAUAUUACCACAUUUUUGGAUUUCUAAGCAAGAAAAAUUAAAAUAUGAUUUUUUUCUUAAAAAAUAGUGGGCCUCCUGCACAAUACUCUCCUGCAGCGUUCCUCCCUCCUUCCUUCACCACGCAACAACAAUAAAAUUCCCAAUAACUAAAUAAAGCAACAUCUCCCCAAAACAACCGAAAACCCAUCACUCUCCCGCCAAAUCUCUCUGUCGCCGACUCCAUCCCCAAACCAGCCCAAAACUCAUCAUCACUCCCGACUCUAUGUCAUCUCACCGAAUUUCACAUGGCUCAGCCGCCCUUCCCCCAAUUUCAAACCCUCAGACACACAUAUACAUUACCUUCAAUCUGUGUUGUUCGAUUUUGUUGAUGGGGAUCCAGGUCGAAGAUCCGAGACCAAAAUUUUUGGUGCCCGUUUUCGCUGGAAACCAUGGCUCAUCUGGCGAGCCACAUCCAAAACUACGAGGUCCGAUUCCUCCCCGAGUUCUUUGACUCUCGCUCAAAUUGGACGGAUUUUCGAGUGGAACUGUUCGCCAUGGCCUGCAGCAACGCCGCGGCCGAGUUGCUUGGGGAGGCUGAGUUGGACGCAUCACAAAAGAGAAAGAAAGAGAGAUGGCUUUCUCCAUUCUAUUUCUCCAGGACGGCUUGCUGGCGAUAGAAUGGGUGUUGUCCCUGCGUCAGGAUUUUCCUUUAGUGCACGACAGAUUUGGAAAGUAAUCAAAGAGAACAAGGACUUGGAUCUUCCCGCUCACAAGGUUUGUUAGUUUAUUUUCUUCCCAUUGAUAAUUUGUGAUCUUCACUUCUCAUAUGCAUAUAAUAAAUACACAUACUGUAAUUUAAUUAGGUUAUGGUUGCUACGGUUCGGUGUGAAGAGAUUGCCAACCAGAAAUUCAAACAGUUGGUCCAGGAUGAGGUAUGUGGUCAUUUAUCUCCACAUAUGAGGUAGUGCUCUGAUAAUGUAUCAAAGUCUUGGUUAUUCAAAUUUCUUAAUGCAAAUACCCAUUAUUUUUCAGAAAAAACUUUCUUUGUCUUUAAGCGGUCCUGUAGAGGCUCUACUGGAAACUGGUGCAAAAGACACCUGGGCUUCGAUACGAAAACUACUUAAUCGUGAGACCAAAGUUGCAGUAUCGGAGUUCUCAACUGCAGUUGCCAAUUUUGAGUUGGACAAUGAAACGGUUGUCAAAAUGAAGCAGCAUUUGAAGGAUUAUGCAAGAAAUUGGUGGAGAAAAAAGCAAGAGAAGAGGCUGGGAAAAUUAUGAUCCACAUGAAGGAUCGGUAGGAACUUUUUAAAAAUCUUCUUUUCUUUUUCACCUUGUUAUUUUGGUUGCUGAUCACUUCUGUUGUCAUUUCUCAGGUUUGCCGCAGUCUUCAAUUAUGACAGCGAUUCAAUGCCUAGGGUUUGGACUGGGAACGAAGACAUUAGAAGUAUUACCAAGGAUGCACGAACUGCGGUAAUCAUUGGGAACUUUUGUGGAAGUACAUGUUAUCUAUCUUUGUGACUUAAAGUGAUGUUUUAGUUGUUUGAUCAUCUCUUUCUUGCAGUCUCUGAAGCUUUUGUUGACCAUGGCUGCCAUUCGCUUGGAUGAGAAGCCAGAUAAUAUUGAAAAUGUCCUAGUUUCUUCUCUGGUGGACAGGACUGUUACUGUUUCAUCUUCACAAAAUAGGAAACUAGGACCUCCUACAGAUCCUCUUGCCUCAAGCUCUUGGGAAGAGGUACCAUUUAUUUAUGGGUUUGGUUUUUGUGUAAAAUUUUUCUAUGAUGAAACUCCCUUCUUAUUAAGGUUAACUCUAAACUAGGUUUCUUCAAAGGAUACCUUAAUUACCCCAGUACAGUGCAAGUCAUUGUCAAGGCAGUUCAAAGCAGAGACUGAAUAUAGUGUCACUCAAGCUAUUUCGGCACAGGUAUACUUAAGUUUAACUUCAGUAGUCUAAUUGUUUUUAUAUCGUUUAAUUAGAGUUGCAUCUCGAAUAAAUGGAUUUUGUCUUUUAUAAAAGGGUAGAGGUCGCACUUGGUGCGAUGGCAAGUGCCUUCGCCCAUGAGCGGUAGGUCUCGGGUUCGAGACUUGGGAGCAGCCUCUCCAUAAAAUGGGGGUAAGGCUAGCCGACAUUCACCUCUCCCAGACCCUGCGUAAAGCGGGAGCCUUGUGCACUGGGUACGACCUUUUUUUUUUUUGUCUUUUAUAAAAGGGUAAACUGCCAAUUUAGUCCCUGAAUUAUCACCUUAGUGAAAAUUAGGUCCCUAAACUAUUUUUUCAGAAAAAUUAGUCCCUGAAUUAUAAAAAUCUGCCAAUUACAUCCCUAAUGUUAUAUUCGAAGCUACUAUAUUCAAUUUUCCAUCAAUUUAAGUCACGUUACUUGCAUGUGAUACACAUUGAAGGCUAGAUUGGUAGUUUUUCAUAAAGAAAUAGUGUAUGGAGUUAACUUUGGAGGAGAAAUUGGUAGUUUUUCAUAAAGAAAUAGUGUAAGUUAACUUUUAAGGGUAAAUUAGACAUUAAAUUCGCAACAUAUAUGAAAUGUUAAGCAUUUAUAAACAAGAAAUGAUGGUAUUACAUUCUAAAGUGUGUCAAGUGACUUAAUUUGACGAAAAAUUAGAUAAAAUAGCUUUGAAUAUAAUAAUAGGGAUGAAAUUAGCAAUUUCUAAUGAAUUUAGGGACUUAUUUUAUUGAAAAAAUAAUUCAAGGACCUAAUUUUCACUGAGGUGAUAGUUCAGGGACUAAAUUGGCACUUCACCCUUUAUAAAAUGUUCUUUAAAGAUAUUGUUAUGAAAAUAUGAAUAUUGGAACAUGUUCCUGCAAAAGUAAUGAACAACUGGUGGGAGGAACGUGGAAAUAGGACGCAUGCAUUGUCCUCGGAUGACAUUUUGGGCGGGAGUUCUUAUGUAAAUUGGAUUUAGUUUAGUAGUGAAACCAAACAUAUGGAAACAUUUCAUAUUGAAAAUCGCGCUGAUUCUUGACUUGGGAAUGGUUUAGUCAGAUAGGACCGACUUAUAAUCAAGUUCAGUGUAUUCUUGUUUUUUCUACAAAGAAAAAUCCUAGUCCUAUUACUAUUUUUGUAACGAGCUCCCUAUCUUUAUGCUUAUAGCUCUGCUCUAUCAUGAUGUUGUUUGCUUUUGUACUUUCAGGAGGCUCACAAGCGGAGUAACAACUGGUUACCUCCUCCAUGGGCUAUAAUGGCGAUGAUCGUUCUUGGUUUUAACGAAUUUAUGAUGCUUUUAAAGUAAUUACUUUCGUUCUUUUUUGUUUCCUUUUGCGAGUUUUAGGUUUUGGACACUUUUAAGUGUCCAGACGCUAAUGUCUUGCACAUAUGUUAAUCACUGUGCCUUUUUUCUUCAAAUGAAACAGGAACCCUCUCUACCUCAUGGUUCUAUUUGUUGCAUUUUUACUUUCAAAGGCCUUAUGGGUACAGAUGGACAUUACAGGACAGUUCCAGCAUGACGCUGUAAGUAUAACAAUAACAACAACAACAAAGCCUUUUCCCACUAAGUGGGGUCGGCUAUAUGAAUCCUAGAACGCCAUUGCGCUCGGUUUUGUGUCAUGUCCUCCGUUAGAUCCAAGUACUCUAAGCCUUUUCUUAGAGUCUCUUCCAAAGUUUUCCUAGGUCUUCCUCUACCCCUUCGGCCCUGAACCUCUGUCCCGUAGUCACAUCUUCGAACCGGAGCGUCAGUCGGCCUUCUUUGCACAUGUCCAAAUCACCGGAACCGAUUUUCUCUCAUCUUUCCUUCAAUUUCGGCUACUCUUACUUUACCUCGGAUAUCCUCAUUCUCAAUCUUAUCCUUUCUCGUGUGCCCACACAUCCCACGAAGCAUCCUCAUCUCCGCUACACCCAUUUUGUGUACGUGUUGAUGUUUCACCGCCCAACAUUCUAUGCCAUACAACAUCGCUAGCCUUAUUGCCGUCCUAUAAAAUUUUCCCUUGAGCUUCAGUGGCCUACGACGGUCACACAACACGCCGGAUGCACUCUUACACUUCAUCCAUCCAGCUCGUAUUCUAUGGUUGAGAUCUCCAUCUAAUUCUCCGUUCUCUUGCAAGAUAGAUCCUAGGUAGCGAAAACGGUCGCUUUUGUGAUCUUCGCUAGAUUGCUCCGGUCAUUAGUGUGGAUAAGUAUAUAAAUGGAUAGAGAUAGGAAAGCAAACACAAGAUGUACGUGGUUCACCCAGAUUGGCUACGUCCACGGAAUAGAAGAGUUCUCAUUAAUUGUGAAGGGUUUAUACAAGUACAUAGGUUCAAGCUCUCCUUUAGUGAGUACCAGUGAAUGAUUUAGUACAAAUGACAUUAGAGUACAAAUGACAUUAGGAAAUAUUGUGGGAGAAUGAUCUCGUAAUCACGAAACUUCUAAGUAUCGGAGUGUGGUAUCAUCUUGACUUGCCUUAUCUGUCUCAUAGGUAGAUGUGGCAGCUUCUCUGGAAGUACUCUUCCUCCAUCCAGGGGUAGUAUCUUUAACUGGUGGAGAUGCACAAGGUAAUGUAUCAAUUUCACUUGAAGCUUACUUGUAGUUUCAGGCUUGGUCCAGCGCGAUACAAACCAUGUAGUAGGAGUCCCCCAAGUCGCCGAGCUAGGGGAUCUGCUGAAAGAGGUGACAGACAAGGUAAGCAAUCAGAGCUCUGGCUGAUUGUUCACCUUCUCCCCAUCUUGCAGCAGCAUGAAGGAUAAAGAGAAGAAAAAUGAGAAGAGAUGAUAUGGGAUACUUUUGCUUUUGAAGAAGUAACUUUCCACAGGCUUAUUCUUGAACUGAACUGGAGGGUUUUCUGGUUUCCUCCAGAGUAUAAGGCCGACUGAAGAAUUUGAGGGUCAAAACAAGUCCAUCAAAUCUAGAGUACGUUCGACCCUGCUGAUAUGGGAUACUUUUGCUUUUGACAGAGUAAUGGAUGUAUCGGCACGUGUGCUGUUACGCUUGUCUCCACAUGCUUCCUUGUAUCCUUCGCACUUGCCCUAUCUGUUCCUCAAGCAGAUGCGGUAUCUUCCCUGGAAACAUAAGAUGUUGAAGAUGAGUACUCGAGAGCAAUGACAGGUAAGUAAUCAGGUAAGGGGUUCCAGGCAGUCAGUUCCUGGCUGGAAGCUUGAUUUCAAGUGCUGACUGAUUGCUCUCUUUCUCCUUGUCUUGCAGGUAAAAACAAGGCCAAAGGAAAAGAUAGGGAAAAAGCAUGAUAUGGGAUACUCUUGCUUUUAACCCUGAUGAUAUGAGAUAUUCUUGCUCUAGUAUAGCUUGUUUGCAGAGGUAUUAUCGGGGGGAAAGAAAGCUGAAUAUUUCGAAAGAUUUCGUUGGGAGUGCCCUCUCAGAUAUGAGGAAGGGUUGAGCAUUUUUGCAGGUCUGCCUGUUCGUUAGGGAUGGAGGUCGACAUAUAUAGGAGUCUCCCUAACAACAAGUAGUAAUGCUAUUCCUUUACCCUGCUUGGUCAUAGCACGGUAAUGGGAGCUGCCAGCUUCACAUGUUUUAACUCUGUCAGAGGACUUUGAAAAAGUGGUAUGUGGUAUCUGGCUCUCGAGAUUCGGAGAACGACGCUUCUUCGAUUUUUGAGAAAGCAAUCAUGCUGGGGGUCUGGCUCUCGAGAUUCGGGGAGCAGUGUCUCUUCGAUUUUUGAGAAAGUAAUCAUGUUGGGAGUCUGGCUCUCGAGAUUCGGAGGGCGGUGCCUUUUCGAUUUUGGAGUAAGCAAUCUUGUUGGGAGUGUUUUCUCGGAUGUGAGUAAAGGUUGGGCAUGUUUGCUAGUCUACCUUGCCACGAAGCACGGAGGUUGACACACAGGGACUUUCCAAUUAUCCAGCAGUGGUACUGUUCCUUUACCCUUGUGGGUAAUAAUAUGGUAGCUAGACCUUCAAAAUUUAUGGGUCUAAACUUUGUUAGUGCUGUUUCUUUGCUAUUCUUUUACCCUUCUUGGUCAGAGCGAUGUAGUGGGAGCUGCAAGCUUCACGUGCUCAACUUUGGCAGAGAACUUUGGCAAAGUUAUCUGUGGUACCCAUGAGCUAUUGUUGCGUGUGGGAAGUGGGUGAUUGGACAGUAAGAUUCAUGUGUUUUCUACUUCCCCAGAAAAUCUUCGACAGAAUACCCAUAAUUUCCGCAAAGCUGAGUGUGCGUGUGACAGGUGCUGACAAGGCUGGAAAAGUAGGUGCCUCCUCGAUUUCUGAGAUCGGCCCUCGUGGUCUCUGAGGAGCCCAACUUUUGAGAAAGCGAGCGCCUCUUCGAUUUCUGAGAUCGGCUUUCGUGGUCUUUGAGCAGCCCAACUUUUGAGAAAGCAAACACCUCUUCGAUUUAUGAGAUCAACCCUCGUGGUCUCUAAGCAGCCCAGUUUUUGAGAAAGCAAACGCCUCUUCGAUUUCUGAGCAGGCGCCUCUUCGAUGUCUGAAGCUCCGUCGAGUGCAGCUUUUUAUAGGGGCUGGCAUUAAGUUCCAAAGCACACUUGAAUCUCCACCAGUAGAAGCUCCAUUCUUGCACUUCUAAGAUCUUGAUUUGUCCGACCUCUUCUCUCUUCAACACCUUUGAAAAUGUCUGGCCCCUCCGACCGUCGUUUUGACUUGAACCUUGUUGAAGAGGCAGCCCCGCCUUCUCCAGACAACAUAUGGCGCCCAUCCUUCGUUUCCCCUACUGGUCCUCUUACCGUUGGGGAUUCCGUGAUGAAGAAUGAUAUGAUCGCUGCGGUGGUGGCCAGGAACCUUCUCACUCCCAAAGAUAACAGACUACUUUCCAAACGGUCUGAUGAGUUAGCUGUUAAGGAUUCGCUGGCUCUCAGUGUUCAGUGUGCAGGUUCUGUGUCUAAUAUGGCCCAACGCCUAUUUGCUCGAACCCGCCAAGUUGAAUCAUUGGCGGCCGAAGUGAUGAGUCUCAAACAGGAGAUUAGAGGGCUCAAGCAUGAGAAUAAACAGUUGCACCGGCUCGCACAUGACUAUGCUACAAACAUGAAGAGGAAGCUUGACCAGAUGAAGGAAACUGAUGGUCAGGGUUUUACUUGAUCAUCAGAGAUUUGUGGGUUUGUUCCAGAGGCAUUUAUUGCCUUCGUCUUCUGGGGCUGUACCGCGUAAUGAAGCUCCAAAUGAUCAACCUCUGAUGCCUCCUCCUUCUAGGGUUCUGUCCAGUACUGAGGCUCCGAAUGAUCCCCCUCCGAUGCCUUCUCUUUCUGGGGCUCUACCGACUGCUGAGACUUCUCCUAAGCAACCUUUGUGAAGGCUCCAUCUUGUUUGUUUAUUUUGACUCAUGUAUAUGUACAUAUUUGUAGCUUAUCGGGGAUAUCAAUAAAUAAGCUUUCCUUCAUUUCAACGUAUUGUGUUAAAUACACCAAAGCCUUCUUCGCUAAGUUCUUUGAAUUUUUCUUUUGUUGAAGCUUGUAUGUUGAAGCUUUCUGAGUGGAGCAUGUAGGUUGGGGUAGUGUUCCCUUAAUUUUCCGAGUGAGGAAAACUUCUCGGUUGGAGACUUGGAAAAUCCAAGUCACUGAGUGGGAUCGGCUAUAUGAAUCUUAGAACGCCAUUGUGCUCGGUCCUGUGUCAUGUCCUUCGUUAGAUCCAAGUACUCUAAGUCUUUUCUUAGAGUCUCUUCCAAAGUUUUCCUAGGUCUUCCUCUACCCCUUCGGCCCUGAACCUCUGUCCCAUAGUCGCAUCUUCUAAUCGGAGCGUCAGUAGGCCUUCUUUGCACAUGUCCAAACCAUCGUAACCGAUUUUCUCUCAUCUUUCCUUCAAUUUCGGCUACUCCUACUUUACCCCGGAUAUCCUCAUUCCUAAUCUUAUCCUUUCUCGUGUGCCCACACAUCCAACGGAGCAUCCUCAUCUCCGCUACACCCUCUCCAACAAAUAGAACCACUAAGAAAACUCGCAGAAGAAGCUCAGGGGAAUCAAACACCAGAAGCACAAAGGCGGCCAGUUUCUCUUUCUUCUCAGAGUUAUAGAAGUGAAACACCUCAGCCAAAUCCAGUAACAAGCUCAUUCACGGAGUCCUCAGUGUCAUCCAAUAUCUCGUCAUCAGAUACCGGCAUGGAAUACUCAAGCCCUCCUUUAAGACAAAGGCGAACGGCAAACGUUGAGGAAGUUGAAUCUUCAUGAUGUAUGAUCUCUGUUGUUUGUACCGUGUGCAACAGAUUAAGGUCACUACACAUUUGUGCGAUAGUUUUCUUUCUUUUUUAUUUUGUUUCUUGUUUGUAGUUAUUGAAAAUUUGAAAUAAAAAUAAACUGGGUUUGCUCAGUGCCUGGUUUUACAAAUUAUAGGUUAGUUGUGAUGUUUCGAGGAAUUAGAUUGUAUUUUGUGGGUUCAAUUAGGGAUGUUUUUGGGUCUUUUUUUAAGAAUAUAUUGAAUCAGUUUAUUUGUUAUUUACGUUAUUCCAUUGCGAACUUUUGAAGGUGAUCUCAGUGCACCUGUUGUGAUCACAGUUUGUGAUUUUGCACUCCCUGAUGGCAGGUCACUACUCGAAGCUAGAGAGACUUCUUCAGCCCUUGGUUAGUUAAAGCCUACAUUAGAGUCAAUAUCAUGGAUUCUCUAUUCCUUAUUUAGUAAUAACUUGAUUUAUGCAACCCUCAAGUUUAUUUAGCCAUGUAAAUUGAACUUUUUCCUGCUUUAAUGUAGGGGCAGUUGGAUCAGCUGACGGGUCAGCAUUAGCAAAGGUUGGUUCAAUUGUAAUUACUUAUCUCUAUUUAACCAUGUGUGUUUAUUUUUGAUGUAUAACUGAAAUAUAUAGUUGUGUGAACAACCCAUGAAGAAGAAUAUUAGCUGGGUGAGCAACUUUUGUUUUUUAUAUUGUGUUUUGAAAAUGUUUUGGAGCAACAUUGUCGACUGUAGCGCAGAGUAUUUUUUAUGAAAGAAAAGAUCAAAGAAUCCCCAGUUUUUAAUAGCUCUGUAUCCAUAGUUGCCAAUUUUUCUGUUAUUACUACAACAAUUCUGAAAGGGACUCAAUUUUCGGAGUCUUCAGUUAUUGUUAACUUUUUUUUAAUCGAAAGUUUUUUUUCACCUUUUGGUUUAGGCUUCUCUAAAUAUCGAAGCUAUAUUUAAUGAUUUCAUGUUUUUUUUUUAAUUGUGUUACAUCUUAAUUUGAUGGUGUUUACAGAAGGAUACAUGUAGAUGUAGCAACUGUUUUGUAAGAGCCAAAGAAACUGUACAUGGGCUUGGGUUAGCAGUUGCUAUUUCAUCCCACAGAUGGAGACGCUAUUGAUAUUGAGUAAUCUUCGAAGAAAGUCACCUCUUCAGAGAAGUAAUCUGGCAGCAUUCGUUAAGCACUUUCCAAGGUACGGACUUCACCAAUCCCAGGUUUUAGUUUGUUUCUAAUUUAUUGAAUUUUUAGGGGCAUAUUCCGUAAUUAAAGGGGAAGGAGGGGUCCAAUUUGGUUUCGAAAUCUUCAAUCUGGUCAAAUGAAAGAAUCAAAAUUCAAAGAUAAUUUGCCACCAAUCAUAGGACUCUGACUUCCAACUCUGCUGCUGCACUGAAAAAUCAUAGUUUUCUUCAUACGUUGGAAACAUAUUCUUUUGUUUUUGGUUUUUUUUACUAAUAUUAGUAGCUUUUUAGGGUUUAACUAUUUGAUUUCACACAUUCAUUACAGACACAGUAAAUAGUUACAUUUUAAAUUCGUAUAAGCAUGGAAUUUUUGCUUUUGUUUUUAUUGUUGUUGCCUUGAUUGUGGUUAUCUGACUGAUUAAUACUCCAUGAUAUAUUGAGCAAUAUUGUGCGGCUCUAAGAAUUUCGUAUGUGUUUACGCGUAUUUUUGUACUCUGGAUAAUUCUAAUCAAAUUCCAUUGCUCCUAAGCUAAGGUCAGAAUUUGUAGCAUAUAAGGGAAGGUUAGCAGAUUCUUGCCAAUUAUCCAAAGCUGGAUAUUAAGGUCUUUAAGAUUAAUAUCUUUUUGUAUGUGUAGCAUCUGCUUGGAAAAGGUUUCAACUUUAUUUUUUAUUUGUUAGAUGAUCAAUUGAUGUAUUUUAUGACAGUUGAUCCGCAAGAUAUAAACAUGAUUUCUUUGUUUAUGUAUACUGUUUAAUUAUAUCAAUGGAAAUUGGUGCUGCCAUUGUGGCAGUAUAUGAAUUUCUGGCUUUUGAGAUAAAGUACUAAGAAAUUUUGAUUUCUUUUUUCUUUACAUGCUUUUCUUUUAAUUUUGCAGGAAUUCUCACGUUGCCUUGAUUAAGUUAUACAUGGCCAUGAGAAGGUAUUGCUCAUCCCCACAAACAUUUUGUACAUGUGUGGCAUUAAUAUAUUUUGUUUUCUGAUUGAAUUUGUUUUCAUUCAAUGGGGUUGGCGAACUAAACAGCAAGUAGCUUUUUAAUCGUGUUGAAAUUGAAGUCCUAAUUUUGGUAGUUUGUUCAUAAUUAGUGUGUUAUGUUGUUUUCCUGUGUGUUUUAUGUGUUUCUUAAUUUAUGGGAGUCUUCACAAGAAAUGUUUUGUACAAAGAUAUUUUGCUUCGAUCAAUAUGAUAUGGUUACAUUCAUUCUUUUAGUGUUUAAUUCACUUUUCAAAUCCACGUAAAUAAAUACAUUUAAAUUGUAUAAAUCGUGGGUAGAAUGCCGUAAUUAUAAAAGGGCUUUCCGCACGUGCGUGAGCGCGUGCAGGGAGGCUAGUAUGGAAAUUAAUGAAAAGGAUUUCAAAACUUUGUAUUUUAAUAAAAAAAAUAUCUAAUAACUUUAUUUAAUGAUAAGGAUAAAAAAAAAAACAUAAAAUAUAAACAUGUGUGCCCAACGUGUCCCCCCAACCCCCUUCCCUCACCCCUUGAAAUAUAACUAAAUAAGAAAAAGUACAUGAAAAUACACACACAUAUAUAUAUAUAUAUAUAUUAUAUUAUGUAUGAAUUAGCUAACUGUAACAACGAUGACACUAAUUAUGUUUUUAAUCUUUGGUAGCACUGCAAGAAGCUGUUGAAACUGGUCCCGUACAAGGCUUUGGUAAAAGGCUCAGUUCCAUUCUAGCCACCUAUCUUUCCGAGAAGUUUGACUCUGGUUUAAUUAUGUUUUUAAUCAAUCAUAUAACUUGAAUGCAUUUUUCACAUGUAACACUGACCACCUUGUUUUUUUGGGUUUUAAUUUUGCCACUAAACUAAAUGUUUAUAUGUAUUCUUACCAGUUGUGUGUUUUCCAUUCGUUGGAAGGUUUAUUGUUAGUGUUCUAUGGGCUUGUACUGUUUCUAGUUCUGACUUUAUUUUGUAUGUCUUGAUCUCGCUUAUGCAUCAUAGGUAUGACAUGGAGGCCAUCUACUUUGAUGAAGGUGUAAGGAACUCAAAACGACAACUGUUGGAGUCAAAAGCAUUGGAUGUAUGUCUAUUCCCCUUGUCUCUCAAAUUUAACAGAGGGUUUAGUUAAGUUUUCAGUUUCUUAGACAAUUUUUGCAACAUAAGGAAGUCGUGAUUGGAAGUGGUUUUAGUUAGGUUGUCAGUUUCAUAUACCAUGUUACUAUUGGCCUCAAUCUCAGAAUGAACACCAUGAUAAUGAAGUGGUUUGGCAACAUAAACUUUAUCCUUCAAGUAUCGUUAUCAAACAAUUAUGCUUAAGUCAACAGCUGAACAUCAUUACUGGAGCAUGACUCCAUCUAAUGACAUUACCAGAAGCUUAAAGUCACUAAUCUCACUCUGAGAAACAGAGGACAAAUAGAGCUUGCUUGUUAUGCAAUACACAAAAAGUAACAUAGCCUUAUAGUUCAGAUUUUCUUCAAAGUUCAAAAUGAAAUUGGUUAAAGGGUCUGUUGGACUUGGUGUGGUCAACUUUGUAAAUUCGUUGCUGCCACUAAUGCGAAUUAUUAUUUUGUUUAAAUCUUGCUUACCUCUGAAUUUUCCAGUUUGUUUACCCUGCGUACUCGGCCAUGCUCGGACACCUGCGUUCUAAAGCCCUUGAAGAUUUUCAAGUGAGGCUGGAGCAGUCAUUGAACAAAGGAGAAGGAUUUGCUUCAUCUGUUCGAACCUGUGCUCAGUCUUCUAUGCUUGAGUUUGAGAAAGGAUGUGCAGGUAAUAGAUUUGUUUAGUGAAUUAACAUGUUUGUCAACCAAAAUAUUUCUUUCAUUACUUUUAACAUGUUUCUCCUUUCAGAUGCUGCCAUACAACAAGCUAAUUGGGAUGCUUCAAAAGCCCAGGAAAAGCUUCGUCGUGAUAUAGAUGCACAUGCAUCAUCGGUUCGUAGUGCAAAACUGGCAGAAUUGAAUUCCAACUAUGAGGUAGUGCUCUGAUAAUGUAUUAAAGUCGUGGUUAUUCUAAGACUAUUCUUAUGACGUUAGGCUCGUAAUCUGCGUUAUUCAAAUUUCUUAAUGCAAAUACCCUUUAUUUUUCAGAAAAAACUUUCUUCGUCUUUAAGUGGUCCUGUAGAAGCUCUACUCGAAACUGGUGCAAAAGACACCUGGGCUUUGAUACGAAAACUACUUAAUCGUGAGACUGAAGUUGCAGUAUCAGAGUUCUCAACUGCAGUUGCCAAUUUUGAGUUGGACUACAAAACGGUUGCCAAAAUGAAGCAACAUUUGAAGGAUUAUGCGAGAAAUGUGGUGGAGACAAAAGCAAGAGAAGAGGCUGGGAAAAUUAUGAUCCACAUGAAGGAUCGGUAGGAACUUGUUAAAAAUCUUUUCUUUUUUACAUUGUUAUUGGUUGCUGAUCACUUCUGUUGUCAUUUCUCAGGUUUGCCGCAGUCUUCAAUUAUGACAGCGAUUCAAUGCCUAGGGUUUGGACUGGGAACGAAGACAUUAAAAGUAUUACCAAGGAUGCACGAACGGUAAUUACUGGGAACUUUUGUGGAAGUACAUGUUAUCUAUCUUUCUGACUUAAACUGAUGUUUUAGUUGUUUGAUCAUCUCUUUCUUGCAGUCUCUGAAGCUUUUGUCGACCAUGGCUGCCAUUCGCUUGGAUGAGAAGCCAGAUAAUAUUGAAAAUGUCCUCGUUUCUUCUCUGGUGGACGGGACUGUUACUGUUUCAUCUUCACAAAAUAGGAAACUAGGACCUUCUACUGAUCCUCUUGCCUCAAGCUCUUGGGAAGAGGUACCAUUAAUUUAUGGGUUUGGUUUUAUGUAAAAUUUUUCUAUGAUGAAACUCUUUUCUUAUUAAGG
Molecule: long non-coding RNA, 43694 nt
Filed under: Malus domestica (apple)
Lineage: Eukaryota; Viridiplantae; Streptophyta; Magnoliopsida; Rosales; Rosaceae
Description: long non-coding RNA (MDOM_LNC005278)
Source: RNAcentral